RNAcentral lists this long non-coding RNA (1415 nucleotides) under Homo sapiens (human). Its description in RNAcentral is "HSALNT0235383". The record is from RNAcentral. Lineage: Eukaryota; Metazoa; Chordata; Mammalia; Primates; Hominidae.
CUGAGAUCUGAGCCCCUCCAAGGCCAGAGCUGCCUCUGUGGUCCCUCCACGGGGCCUGUACGCAGGUGACCUGCUGUAUGACCCUGCGGAAGCCCCUGACCCCAUCCGAGUUCCACGUUCUCUCUGGAUGAGCCUGGCAUUCCUAGGCCUGCCGGACGAGGCAGGAAGCCUGAGGCACAGCGGCCGGCUUUGACCCAUGGCCGGCCCUGGUGAAAGGCCUGUGUGGACUCACCUGGCCCCACCACAGCCCUGGGAGGACCUGCAUUGCAGAAGAGGAAGCCCAGGCCCCCCGGAGGGCAAGGACAUGACCCGGAGCUACCCAGUGGGAAGCAGGGAAGCUGGGAUUUGAACCGGCCAAGCCUGGGCUCUGGGCCACACGAGCUCCUCACACUCAGGGCUCACAGAAGGUGCCCGCUGGCUCCGGGCAGGAAGCUCAGAAUUUCAAACAACACAAGGGCCUCCCCUGAAACACCUGGCCCUCGGCUGCCAGGACAGCCAAGACAGAGGCGGCAUUGACUUCAGGAUGGCCGAGGCCUGGCUGCGCUGGGCGCAGCCCCCGGCAGGUGGUAACGCCAGGACACGUGAUUAAUGAGAACCUGCAGCUGAACAAGAUUCCCUCGUGGUCUGAGGCUCCCUGAAGUCUGAGAAGCUCCACCCAGGGCCAGCUGUGUCCGGAGACGGCAGGAAAACGCUCAAGGCGCUGGUGGGCCGGGACUGGGGGGCACGGAGCCCCCUUGUGCCACCCAGAGAGCAGGACCUGCAGACAAGGUUAACCGAAGGGCCUGCAGCACAGACGUGCCCGAGACACCAGGAGGCCAAGCCAGCACCCUGUCUGCGGCAUUUUCUGCAGGGGGUGCGGGUGUAAGCCCCAGGGCCUCCCCAUUUAUCUUAAGGCAAGGUCAGCCAGUGCCAAAGCAAGGCAGAAAGACCUGCUAUCCGUGGCUGAGACUUCGGGGGCCUCAGCGGCUUAGAGCAGCAAGGUAGGCAUCCUCAAUCUGCUGAAUACCGGACUGCCCCGCACCCUGCUCCUGCUGACACCUGUGGGUCUCACCCACGACUGCCCCGCACCCUGCUCCUGCUGACACCUGUGGGUCUCACCCACGACUGCCCCGCACCCUCCUCCUGUUAACACCUGUGGGUCUCACCCACGACUGCCCUGCACCCUCCUCCUGUUAACACCUAUGGGUCUCACCCACAGCCUGGGGCAUGAAACAGGUGAGGCCACAGUUGGGGGCUGGUAUCUGUCGUGUUAUUAGUCAACUGUGGGCGCUGCCCCUGCUUCUGCCCGUUCCCCAUUCCCGGGGCCCCAGCACCAUCGUCAGACGGAGAGAUCCACCCAGGGCCACGGCCACGCGGACUCUGUGGAAGGUGACGGAUAAAUGACUUCUACAGCGAUCACAUGCCAAAUACGGCAC